GCUUGUCUCAAAGAUUAAGCCAUGCAUGUUCAAGUAUAGCAAGUGUACAGUGAAACUGCGAAUGGCUCAUUAAAUCAGUUAUAAUUUAUUUGAUAGUGAAAUUGUACAUGGAUAACCGUGGCAAUUCUAGGGCUAAUACAUGCGUCAAUGGUCGGUCGACCAGUAUUUAUUAGAUACAAAGCCAGCCGUCAGGAUCAGGUGAAUCAUGAUAACCAAACGAAUCGCAAGCGCAAGCGGCGAUAAAUCAUUCAAGUUUCUGCCCUAUCAGCUUUCGAUGGUAGUGUAUUGGACUACCAUGGCAGUCACGGGUAACGGAGAAUUAGGGUUCGGUUCCGGAGAGGGAGCCUGAGAAACGGCUACCACAUCUAAGGAAGGCAGCAGG
This 382-nucleotide ribosomal RNA is filed under the name uncultured fungus. Its description in RNAcentral is "partial small subunit ribosomal RNA". It matches the Rfam family "Eukaryotic small subunit ribosomal RNA", at positions 30 to 432 of the family's 1831-position model. The record is from RNAcentral. Lineage: Eukaryota; Fungi.